GCCCCCUCAGCUCUGGCAAUCACACAGGUCCAGUGUGUGCUUGGGGGGGUGUUUCGAGCAAGAGAAGAGAAUGGCCUUCCUAAUACAUAGUAGACCUGCCCCAAGGUGUCUGCCCUGAUCCUAGGAGAGCAUCAGCU
RNAcentral lists this small nucleolar RNA (137 nucleotides) under Microtus ochrogaster (prairie vole). RNAcentral describes it as "Small nucleolar RNA SNORA64/SNORA10 family (ENSMOCG00000010609.1)". It matches the Rfam family "Small nucleolar RNA SNORA64/SNORA10 family". From Rfam's summary of the family: This family belongs to the H/ACA class of small nucleolar RNAs (snoRNAs) which act as guides in the the modification of uridines to pseudouridines. This family includes the human snoRNAs U64 and ACA10 and mouse MBI-29. Lineage: Eukaryota; Metazoa; Chordata; Mammalia; Rodentia; Cricetidae. The record is from RNAcentral.